GAUGAACGCUGGCGGCGUGCUUAACACAUGCAAGUCGAACGGAAAGGCUCCUGCUUGCAGGGGUACUCGAGUGGCGAACGGGUGAGUAACACGUGGGUGAUCUGCCCUGCACUUCGGGAUAAGCCUGGGAAACUGGGUCUAAUACCGGACAGGACGAUGGUUUGGAUGCCAUUGUGGAAAGUUUUUCGGUGUGGGAUGAGCUGGCGGCCUAUCAGCUUGUUGGUGGGGUAAUGGCCUACCAAGGCGUCGACGGGUAGCCGGCCUGAGAGGGUGUACGGCCACAUUGGGACUGAGAUACGGCGCAGACUCCUACGGGAGGCAGCAGUGGGGAAUAUUGCACAAUGGGCGCGAGCCUGAUGCAGCGACGCCGCGUGGGGGAUGACGGCCUUCGGGUUGUAAACUCCUUUCGCUAGGGACGAAGCGUUUUGUGACGGUACCUGGAGAAGAAGCACCGGCUAACUACGUG
This 466-nucleotide ribosomal RNA is filed under the name uncultured bacterium. RNAcentral describes it as "partial 16S ribosomal RNA". It matches the Rfam family "Bacterial small subunit ribosomal RNA", at positions 28 to 507 of the family's 1533-position model. The record is from RNAcentral.